GACGAACGCUGGCGGCGUGCUUAACACAUGCAAGUCGAACGGAAAGGCCCUGCUUGCCGGGUACUCGAGUGGCGAACGGGUGAGUAACACGUGGGUGAUCUGCCCUUCACUUCGGGAUAAGCCUGGGAAACUGGGUCUAAUACCGGAUAGAAGCCAUUUUUAGUUUGAUGGUUGGAAAGUUUUUUCGGUGUAGGAUGGGCUCGCGUCCUAUCAGCUUGUUGGUGGGUUAAUGGCCUACCAAGGCGGCGGCGGGUAGCCGGCCUGAGAGGGUGGACGGCCACAUUGGGACUGAGAUACGGCCCAGACUCCUACGGGAGGCAGCAGUGGAGAAUAUUGCACAAUGGGCGCAAGCGUGAUGCAGCGAAGCCGCGUGGGGGAUGACGGACUUCGGGCUGUAAACUCCUUUCGCUAGGGACGAAGCUUUUUGUGACGGUACCUAGAUAAGAAGCACCGGCUAACUACGUG
This 465-nucleotide ribosomal RNA is filed under the name uncultured bacterium. Its description in RNAcentral is "partial 16S ribosomal RNA". It matches the Rfam family "Bacterial small subunit ribosomal RNA", at positions 28 to 507 of the family's 1533-position model. The record is from RNAcentral.